RNAcentral lists this ribosomal RNA (468 nucleotides) under uncultured bacterium. RNAcentral describes it as "partial 16S ribosomal RNA". It matches the Rfam family "Bacterial small subunit ribosomal RNA", at positions 28 to 507 of the family's 1533-position model. The record is from RNAcentral.
GACGAACGCUGGCGGCGUGCUUAACACAUGCAAGUCGAACGGAAAGUCCCUUCUUUUUUUGUUUUCUCUUUUUGCUAUCUUGUUUUUAACACUUGUUUACCCUUCCCUUUUCUUUGUUAUAUCUUCUUGUAACUUUUUCUAAUACCUUAUAUUUUCUCCUGCUGCUUGUUGUUGUUUGGUUAGUUUCGGCGGUUGGGUAUUGACUCGCGGCUUAUCAGCUUGUUGGUUGGGUAGUGGCUUACCAAGGCUUUGACGGGUAGCCGGCCUGAGAGGGUGACCGGCGAAAUUGGGACUGAGAUACGGACCAGAAUGCAACGGGAGGCAGCAGUGGGGAAUAUUGCAAAAUGGGAGGAAGCCUGAGGAAGCAACGCGGGGUGCGGGAUGACGGGCUUCGGGUUGUAAAAAGAUUUAGAAUGAGAAGAAGCGAGAGUGACGGUAAUGGGUAAAGAAGCACCGGCUAACUACGUG